This 467-nucleotide ribosomal RNA is filed under the name uncultured bacterium. RNAcentral describes it as "partial 16S ribosomal RNA". It matches the Rfam family "Bacterial small subunit ribosomal RNA", at positions 29 to 507 of the family's 1533-position model. The record is from RNAcentral.
ACGCACGCUGGCGGCGCGCCUCACACCUGCAAGUCGAACGGAGUCAAGAGGAGCUUGCUUUUCUUGACUUAGUGGCGAACGGGUGAGUAACGCGUGAGUAACCUGCCCUGGAGUGGGGGACAACAGUUGGAAACGACUGCUAAUACCGCAUAAGCCCACGGAUCUGCAUGGAUCUGCGGGAAAAGGAUUUAUUCGCUCUAGGAUGGACUCGCGUCCAAUUAGCUAGUUGGUGAGGUAACGGCCCGCCAAGGCGACGAUUGGUAGCCGGACUGAGAGGUUGAACGGCCACAUUGGGACUGAGACACGGCCCAGACUCCUACGGGAGGCAGCAGUGGGGGAUAUUGCACAAUGGGGGAAACCCUGAUGCAGCGACGCCGCGUGGAGGAAGAAGGUUUUCGGAUUGUAAACUCCUGUCGUUAGGGACGAUAAUGACGGUACCUAACAAGAAAGCACCAGCUAACUACGUG